GAACAGAGUGACACGAUGACAUAGAUCGAGUGGCAUUUGAUAAAGUUAAAGUGAAAUGACACUAGAGAUAGUGUGAGGUAAAGAACAAAUGUAAUGUAAAGAAUGAUGAAAAUGACAAUGUGUAAAGUAAAGUGGGGCAAUAAGAACAAGAAAUGUAAAGAAUAAGAAUGCUAAAGAUAGCAAAGGUAAAUGAAAAGUAAA
Molecule: long non-coding RNA, 201 nt
Filed under: Ananas comosus (pineapple)
Lineage: Eukaryota; Viridiplantae; Streptophyta; Magnoliopsida; Poales; Bromeliaceae
Description: long non-coding RNA (ACOM_LNC038699)
Source: RNAcentral